GGAAUGAUCCCGGCUCAGAUUGAACGCUGGCGGGAUGCUUUACACAUGCAAGUCGAACGGCAGCACGGACUUUGGCUCGGUGGCGAGUGGCGAACGGGUGAGCAAUGUAUCUGCAACCACCGUAUGUGGGGAUACGCGAAAUGUAGCUAAUACCGCAUUACCGCCUCGGGAAAAGCGGACCUUCGGGCCUCGCACUAUUAGAGCGGCCAGAUAUCGGAUUAGCUAUUGGUGGGUAACGGCUCACCACAGUGACGAUCCGUAGCCGGUUUGAGAGGACACCAGCCACACUGGGACUGAGACACGGCCCAGACUCACGGGAGGCAGCAGUGGGGAAUUUUUGGACAAUGGGGAAACCCUGAUCCAGCCAUCCCGCGUGUGCGAUGAAGGCCUUCGGGGUUGUAAAGCACUUUUUGGCAGGGGAAAGAAACGGCACGGGAUAAUACCCCGUGCAACUGACGGUACCUAUAGAAUAAGCACUGGCCAAUCCACGCGCCAGCAGCCGCGGUAAUACGUAGGGUGCAAGCGUUAAUCGAACGACGGCGGUAUGUGCGCAGGCGGUUCGGAAAGAAGAUGAACCUAAGAGCUUAACUUUGAACUGCAUUUUUAACUACCGAGCUAGAGUGUGUCAGAGGAGGUGGGAUUCCGCGUGUAGCAGUGAAAUGCGUAGAUAUGCGGAGGAACACCGAUGGCGAAGGCAGCCUCCUGGAUAACACUGACGCUCAUGCACGAAAGCGUGGGGAGCAAACAGGAUUAGAUACCCUGGUAGUCCACGCCCUGAAACGAUGUCAACUAGCUGCUGGGGCCUUUCGGGCCUGGCAGCGCAGCUAACGCGUGAAGUUGACUGCCUGGGGAGUACGGUCGCAAGAUUAAAACUCAAAGGAAUUGACGGGGACCCGCACAAGCGGUGGAUGAUGUGGAUUAAUUCCGAUGCAACGGGAAAACCUUACCUACCCUUGAUAUGUCUGGAAUCCCGAAGAGAUUUGGGAGUGUCAAGAGAACCGGAACACAGGUGCUGCAGGGUGGCUGUCGUCAGCUCGUGUCGUGAGAUGUUGGGUUAAGUCCCGCACCAGAGCGCAACCCUUGUCAUUAGUUGCUACGAAAGGCACUCUAAUGAGACUGCCGGUGACAAAUCGGAGGAAGGUGAUGACGUCAGUCCCCAUGGUCUUAUGGGUAGGGCUUCACACGUCAUACAAUGGUCGACAGAGGGUCGCUAACCCGCGAGGGGGAGCCAAUCCCAGAAACCCGAUCGUAGUCCGGAUCGCAGUCUGCAACUCGACUGCGGUGAAGUCGGAAUCGCUAGUAAUCGCGGAUCAGCAUGUCGCGGUGAAUACGUUCCUGCAGGCCUUGUACACACCGCCCGUCACACUACGGGAGUGGGUUUUACCAGACAGUUAGCCUAACCGUAAGGAGGGCGAUUACCACGGUAGGAUUCAUGACUGGGGUGAAGUCGUAACAAGGUAG
Molecule: ribosomal RNA, 1461 nt
Filed under: uncultured Bordetella sp.
Lineage: Bacteria; Pseudomonadati; Pseudomonadota; Betaproteobacteria; Burkholderiales; Alcaligenaceae
Description: partial 16S-23S ribosomal RNA intergenic spacer
Rfam family: Bacterial small subunit ribosomal RNA
Source: RNAcentral